Molecule: ribosomal RNA, 408 nt
Filed under: uncultured bacterium
Lineage: Bacteria
Description: partial 16S ribosomal RNA
Rfam family: Bacterial small subunit ribosomal RNA
Source: RNAcentral
UGGGGAAUAUUGCACAAUGGGCGAAAGCCUGAUGCAGCGACGCCGCGUGAGGGAUGACGGCCUUCGGGUUGUAAACCUCUUUCAGCAGGGAAGAAGCCACAAGUGACGGUACCUGCAGAAGAAGCGCCGGCUAACUACGUGCCAGCAGCCGCGGUAAUACGUAGGGCGCAAGCGUUGUCCGGAAUUAUUGGGCGUAAAGAGCUCGUAGGCGGUUUGUCGCGUCUGCUGUGAAAGCCCGGGGCUUAACCCCGGGUGUGCAGUGGGUACGGACAGACUAGAGUGCAGUAGGGGAGACUGGAAUUCCUGGUGUAGCGGUGGAAUGCGCAGAUAUCAGGAGGAACACCGAUGGCGAAGGCAGGUCUCUGGGCUGUUACUGACGCUGAGGAGCGAAAGCAUGGGGAGCGAACA